RNAcentral lists this ribosomal RNA (253 nucleotides) under uncultured bacterium. RNAcentral's name for it is "partial 16S ribosomal RNA". It matches the Rfam family "Bacterial small subunit ribosomal RNA", at positions 524 to 776 of the family's 1533-position model. The record is from RNAcentral.
UACGGAGGGUGCAAGCGUUAUCCGGAUUCACUGGGUUUAAAGGGUGCGUAGGCGGGCAGGUAAGUCAGUGGUGAAAUCUCCGGGCUUAACCCGGAAACUGCCGUUGAUACUAUCUGUCUUGAAUAUCGUGGAGGUAAGCGGAAUAUGUCAUGUAGCGGUGAAAUGCUUAGAUAUGACAUAGAACACCCAUUGCGAAGGCAGCUUACUACACGAUCAUUGACGCUCAUGCACGAAAGCGUGGGGAGCAAACAGG